GAAAGAGUGCCGUGUGGGAAGGUUUAUAAUUGCAAACGGGGCUGUGCAGGGACGGUCUCACUGGGAAGGAGACACCCUGGCUAUGGAGCUCGCCAGGAAACAGGAGGAUGCCUGUGGGAAACGGAGAAGGGAGAAGGAGGCUCCAAGGUCCUGAGGAGGAGCCAUCUUGUAGGAAGCGUGUCUGUGGUGAUCUUGCAGGAAUAAGCCCCCAGGGGCGGGACCCUGGUGGUCGAUCACGUUUGUAGACUGCAUGAGGCCUGGCCCAGCCCCAGGGACGUUUGUGAAGUCGUGUCCGACUCUUUGCGACCCCAGGAGCUGCAGCACGCCAGGCCUCCCUGUCCUUCACCGUCUCCCCGAGUUUGCUCAAACCCAUGUCCAUCGAGUCGGUGAUGCCAUCCAGCCAUCUCAUCCUCUGUCGUCCCCUUCUCCUCCUGCCCCCAAUCUUUCCCGACAUCAGGGUCUUUUCCAAUGAGUCGGCUCUUCCCAUCAGGUGGACCUUAAAGUAUUGGAGUUUCAGCUUCAUCGUCAGUCCUUCCAAUGACUAUUCCAGAUUAAUUUCCUUUAGGAUGGACUGGUUGGAUCUCCUUGGUGUCCAAGGGACUCUAAAGUCUUCUCUAACACCACAGUUCAAAAGCAUCAGUUCUUCGGCGCUCAGCUUUCUUUAUGGUCCAACUCAUAUGUAUGUAUCGUAUUCUUUUUUUCAGACUGUUUUCCUGUAUAGGUUAUUACAACAUACUGAGUACAUAGCACAUUGAGCAUGCUUCCCUGUGCUGCGUAGGGGCCUCGUUGUUUAUUUCACACGUAGCGGGGUGUGUCUGUUAGUCUCAGUCGCCUGAGGUGUCCCUCCCUGCUCCCUCUCAUCUUUGAUUAUCAUACGUUUGUUCUCUGUGUCUGUGAGUGUUUCUGUCCUGUGAAUUAGCUCAUCUGCCUUGUCAUUACUGUUAUUACUGCCAUUGUUACUCUGGCUGCACCACACGGACUUGUGGGCUCUUGGCUCCCUGACCGAGGAUUGAACCUGCCCCUCGGCCGUGAAAGCAUGGAGUCCCAAAUACUGAGCCACCAGGGAAUUUCCCAUAUCGUUUUUUAGACUCCACACAUAGUGAUGUUGAAGGACGUUUGCCUUUGGCUUAUUUCACCAGCGUGAUGACCUCUAAAUGCGUCUGUGUUGCGGCAAAUGGCAGUGUUUCUUUCUUACAGCCGCGCAGUAUUCCACUGUGUGCCCUCAUCUACCCAUGGACAUCGAGGUUGCUUCCAUGUCUUGGCUAGUGUAAAUAGCACAGUUCACACUUUCAUAUAAGAAUUAUUUGAAUCCCUGUCGAUUUUCUAGUCUGUAGAGCUGUAAGUUCCUUUAAAGACUGAGGACGGUGGUGGGCAGCUGGUCAGGACGCCUGCCACGUCUCAGAGUCUUCCACCAGUCGCUCUGUGCUCCUCGGGCCUCCUCUCCCUGCCCUCUUGCUCAGUCUGGUCCAGGCACAGUCUCCCUGCUGCCCUCCAAGCUGGCUAAAGCCCUGCCCUCGGGGCUCUGUGUCCUCUGGUCCUGCCCGCCUGGAGUGGGCUGGCCUGAGACCCCCGCAGCCCCCGUCCUUCUCAGGCCCUGCCCGGGGUCACCUUCUCAGGGAGGACCCCAUCCCCUCCCCGCUUUAUUUCCCCUUCUAGCACAUACUGCAAAUGGCGGAAUUCUGUCUCCUCCACUGCACGUCUGUUGAAUGGAAAAUUAGAGUGACUACCAGGUCCCAGGUACUAGGAAUUAUUUUUAGAGUCAUAAGAUUUAAGAUCUUUUCAGCACUGUGUCAUUUUUUUUUAAAGCCGGGUUUCUUAACUGAAAUAGGAUUAAUGUACAAUAUUCUGUUGGUUUCAGGUGUACAUCGAAGCAGUUCAGUUACAUAUAUACAUGCAUUUACAUGCACUUUUCAGAGUAUUUUCCAUUAUAGGUACAUUGCAGGGUAUUGAAUAUGGUUCCUUGUGCUGUUCAAUAAACCCUUGCUGCUUCCCUAUUUUGUGUAUAGGAGUGUGUAUUUGUUAAGUCCACACUCCUAGUUCAUCCCUCUCCACCUCUUUCCCCUCGGUUGCCACGAGCUUGUCUUCUCUGUCUGUGAGUCUGGCUCUGUUUUGUGCAUAAGUUCAUUUGUAUUGAUUUUUCGAUUCUACCUAUGUGGUGUCACAUGGUGUUCAUCUUUCUCUGACUUACUUCACUUAGCAUGAUAAUCUCGGGGUUUAUCCACGUUGCUGUAAAUGGCAACAUCUCAUUCUUUUUAUCACUAAUCUUCUAACAUACAUGUAUAUAUAUGCAUAUAUAUGUGCGUGCGUGCGUGUGUGUGUGUAUGUGUAAAUAUGUGUGUGUUGGUCUUUCAGUCAUGUCUGACUCUUUGCUUCUCUAUGGACUGUAGCCCGCCAGGCUCCUCUGUCUACAGGAUUCUCCAGGCAAGAAUUCUGGAGUGGGUUGCCAUGCCCUGCUCCAGGGGAUCUUCCUGACCCAGGGAUCAAACCGGGGUCUCCUGCCUUUCGGGCGGAUGCUUUACCGUCUGCGCCGCAGGGAAGCCGUCACCGCAGCUUCUUAAACCGAUUGUCUGUUGAUGGGCACUCGGUUGUUCCCACUUCUUGACUGCUACAGAGAGUGCUUCUAUGACCAUUGGGGUGGGACCCCGCUAUUUUAAAGACAAGGAG
Molecule: long non-coding RNA, 2664 nt
Organism: Bos taurus (domestic cattle)
Lineage: Eukaryota; Metazoa; Chordata; Mammalia; Artiodactyla; Bovidae
Source: Ensembl